Mustela putorius furo (domestic ferret) is the source of this 101-nucleotide small nuclear RNA. NCBI's taxonomy places the organism in Eukaryota, Metazoa, Chordata, Mammalia, Carnivora, Mustelidae. The record is from Ensembl.
UUGCUUUUGGCAGCAUAUACACCGAAAUUUGAAUGAUAGAAAGAUUAAUGUGGUCCCUGAGAAAGGAUGCCAUGUAAAUUCAUAAAGCAUUCCAUAGUUUU